UUGCCCUUCUUUCUCAUCAUUAUUUACUAAGAAAAAGGACGCACUACUUUUUCUCUCUCAAACCUCUCAGCUGAAAAUAUCCACGCCGUAGCAAAGGAAUCAAAGUGAAAUGACGGGUGAAGAAGCGGCAGGUCCCCCUGGCCCCAAAGUCCUCCGUCUCCUCUACUUCGCCGGCGCUGCGUUUAUCUUUAGUAUUGGAAUCAACAAAUGGCGAGAGCUAGAGCGAAAAUCCGUUCAGCAACAACAAGGGAUUCAUCAGCAACCGAAAAUUUUAAGCUCUACCAAUGCUGCAACUAAACCCAUCGAAUAAUUUUUCAGGUUUUUCAUUUUGGAAGAACAAAAUUUGUAGCGAAUAAUGGUCUUUGUGUGGAAUUGUUGAUUUACGAUGAUAAUGUUGUCUAUUCAUUAUAUGAGUUCGUUUCUGUUUUUUUUUUCUUGUUACUAAAUUUGUAUAAUUUGGUCUAAUUUUGUUCUUUGAAUUAUUACUAGUUAUACUAAGCUGGUUUGGGUGAUAGGGAUUUUGGUUCUA
This 529-nucleotide small RNA is filed under the name Theobroma cacao (cacao). Its description in RNAcentral is "sRNA Tc07v2_g009400". The record is from RNAcentral. Lineage: Eukaryota; Viridiplantae; Streptophyta; Magnoliopsida; Malvales; Malvaceae.